This 468-nucleotide ribosomal RNA is filed under the name uncultured bacterium. RNAcentral describes it as "partial 16S ribosomal RNA". It matches the Rfam family "Bacterial small subunit ribosomal RNA", at positions 28 to 507 of the family's 1533-position model. The record is from RNAcentral.
GACGAACGCUGGCGGCGUGCUUAACACAUGCAAGUCGAACGGAAAGGCCCUGCUUUUGUGGGGUGCUCGAGUGGCGAACGGGUGAGUAACACGUGAGUAACCUGCCCUUGACUUUGGGUUAACUUCAGGAACCUGGGGCUAAUCCCGGUUAGGGGCUCCUGCGGCUGGGUGGGGGUGGGAAAGUUUCGGCGGUUGGGGAUGGACUCGCGGCUUAUCAGCUUGUUGGUGGGGUAGUGGCUUACCAAGGCUUUGACGGGUAGCCGGCCUGAGAGGGUGACCGGCCACAUUGGGACUGAGAUACGGCCCAGACUCCUACGGGAGGCAGCAGUGGGGAAUAUUGCACAAUGGGCGGAAGCCUGAUGCAGCAACGCCGCGUGCGGGAUGACGGCCUUCGGGUUGUAAACCGCUUUCGCCUGUGACGAAGCGUGAGUGACGGUAAUGGGUAAAGAAGCACCGGCUAACUACGUG